Molecule: long non-coding RNA, 584 nt
Organism: Helianthus annuus (common sunflower)
Lineage: Eukaryota; Viridiplantae; Streptophyta; Magnoliopsida; Asterales; Asteraceae
Exons: 2
Source: RefSeq, a predicted model, not a curated record
UUGGUUGCUUUAUUGGUGACCAUGAAAUACUCGUAUUAAUGACCCGUGUGUACAUGGCAAACAAGAACUUGAGGUAUGUGACUGAGAUAUUUGACAAUCUUUUAUAUUGCAGAGCAUAACUAGCAAGGAUAUAUGGUCUAAAACGGGUUCAAGUAAUAGGGUUGCAAACAAGCCGAGCCAAGCACAAGCUCAUAUAAGUUAUGAAAGCUCGAGCUCAGUUUGAUUCAAGCUUUGUUUCUAAAGCUCAAGCUCGGCUGCUAGGUAAUUUUUCAAACUCGAGCUCGAUAAACGAAUUUCGGGCUUGGGCUUAUUUAUUAAAUAAGCUUGCUUUUAGGCUUGGGCUCAAGCCAUAUGGUUUAUUUUCUACAAUUCAAGAUUGUAUUGGUGCAUCCAUCGCAUGGCCCUAUCCAUUCAUCUCGGUAGUCCAUGAGGAUUGAGGACGCAUGAUGACUCAAGAUUUUAUGCUUCUUAUUUCUUUAAUUGCUUUUAAUUUCUUUGUUAAAUGUUAAGACUUUAUGUUAGAUAAUGUUAUAACUUAUUUAUGGUUAGUGUUUUUGUUAUGAACAUGCUUAUUUGAAAUAUAA